This 495-nucleotide ribosomal RNA is filed under the name uncultured bacterium. RNAcentral describes it as "partial 16S ribosomal RNA". It matches the Rfam family "Bacterial small subunit ribosomal RNA", at positions 29 to 506 of the family's 1533-position model. The record is from RNAcentral.
AUGAACGCUGGCGGCGUGCCUAAUACAUGCCAGUCGAGCGAACGGACGAGAAGCUUGCUUCUCUGAUGUUAGCGGCGGACGGGUGAGUAACACGUGGAUAACCUACCUAUAAGACUGGGAUAACUUCGGGAGACCGGAGCUAAUCCCGGAUAAUAUUUUGAACCGCAUGGUUCAAAAGUGAAAGACGGUCUUGCUGUCACUUAUAGAUGGAUCCGCGCUGCAUUAGCUAGUUGGUAAGGUAACGGCUUACCAAGGCAACGAUGCAUAGCCGACCUGAGAGGGGGAUCGGCCACACUGGAACUGAGACACGGUCCAGACUCCUACGGGAGGCAGCAGUAGGGAAUCUUCCGCAAUGGGCGAAAGCCUGACGGAGCAACGCCGCGUGAGUGAUGAAGGUCUUCGGAUCGUAAAACUCUGUUAUUAGGGAAGAACAUAUGUGUAAGUAACUGUGCACAUCUUGACGGUACCUAAUCAGAAAGCCACGGCUAACUACGU